This 497-nucleotide ribosomal RNA is filed under the name uncultured bacterium. RNAcentral's name for it is "partial 16S ribosomal RNA". It matches the Rfam family "Bacterial small subunit ribosomal RNA", at positions 28 to 507 of the family's 1533-position model. The record is from RNAcentral.
GACGAACGCUGGCGGCGUGCCUAAUACAUGCAAGUUGAGCGAUGAAGAUUGGUGCUUGCACCAAUUUGAAGAGCAGCGAACGGGUGAGUAACGCGUGGGGAAUCUGCCUUUGAGCGGGGGACAACAUUUGGAAACGAAUGCUAAUACCGCAUAACAACUUUAAACAUAAGUUUUAAGUUUGAAAGAUGCAAUUGCAUCACUCAAAGAUGAUCCCGCGUUGUAUUAGCUAGUUGGUGAGGUAAAGGCUCACCAAGGCGACGAUACAUAGCCGACCUGAGAGGGUGAUCGGCCACAUUGGGACUGAGACACGGCCCAAACUCCUACGGGAGGCAGCAGUAGGGAAUCUUCGGCAAUGGACGAAAGUCUGACCGAGCAACGCCGCGUGAGUGAAGAAGGUUUUCGGAUCGUAAAACUCUGUUGGUAGAGAAGAACGUUGGUGAGAGUGGAAAGCUCAUCAAGUGACGGUAACUACCCAGAAAGGGACGGCUAACUACGUG